Molecule: long non-coding RNA, 1067 nt
Filed under: Chinchilla lanigera (long-tailed chinchilla)
Lineage: Eukaryota; Metazoa; Chordata; Mammalia; Rodentia; Chinchillidae
Description: lncRNA (ENSCLAG00000025868.1)
Source: RNAcentral
GGCUAGGUUACGUGCUGUGUCGCGAUAGUUGACUGCUAGGACCAUUGAAAACCGCUAGCCGCGUGCCACGACGGGGGCGGAGUCCUACUGGAGCGGAAUCCUCAUUGGUCAAUGUGCAUCCUGGAGGCGGGACUGCGCAUGCCUCGAUAGUCUCCGCGGAGACCAGGCGGGAAUCCUCGCAGGCAGGGCAGCGCGACUCUAGUGUUCUUUCUGGUAGAGAAAAUCAAGAGAUGAGUUUUAACGUCUGGACUGUCAAAGAGAUGCUCAGUGUUCCUUCAGGCUCUGGGACCACUAAGUCAUCUGCCUGGAAUAACAAUCAGACUGAUUAUUCUGCUCUCAGUGAUUCCCAAUUCCUCUUUGGAUCUCAGUUUUGCCCAGAAAAUUCAGAGACCUUGUCAGCACCCUUGGACUUGGGUGCUCACUCGAGACAUGCAAAACAACUACAGCAGAACCCUCUGGAUAGUGAACCUAGUAUUUUCACAAAGUACCAGACAAAACCCCACCUCUUUGGAGGAGAGACAAAGGAUGAAGGGUUAUUUUCUCUUCCUUUGCCAGUUGGAAAAUCGAAAUGCCUCUUGAAGCAGUUUGAGGAGAAAAACCAAAGAGCAAAAGACAAAUAUGACAGUGACACUGUAUACAACUUCGUUUCCCAGGUCAGAGAAAGCAUUCAGAGGUUACAGACAUCUGUGGCAGAGUCUGAGGAACGCCUCAGUUCAAGAAGCCAAGCUAUUUUGGACUCUUUGGAGACUGUAGCUAGGACAUUGCAAGAGACUGCACGGGCCCAGAGCGACGCGAGGUUUGAGGCGGUACAAGAGCAAGGCAAAGCGGAGCAGGCCAUCCUUGAGAUGCAGAGGAAAUUCGAAGCUACACGAGCAGAGUUUACGGAGGUGAAGUCCAGCCUGAGGCGCCUCGAGCUCUCGCUCGCCCAGCAGACUGAGGACCGCCAGCGGCUGCGUGAGCGCCUGGGCCAGCUGCCUGUGCCCGCCGUGCUGGCGGCGCGGGGGCCCGGCGCGCUGGGGGACAGCGCUUCGCAGACGUCGCCCUCCCUGGCGCGGAGCCCGGGUCGC